RNAcentral lists this ribosomal RNA (464 nucleotides) under uncultured Klebsiella sp. Its description in RNAcentral is "bacterial SSU rRNA". It matches the Rfam family "Bacterial small subunit ribosomal RNA", at positions 339 to 795 of the family's 1533-position model. Lineage: Bacteria; Pseudomonadati; Pseudomonadota; Gammaproteobacteria; Enterobacterales; Enterobacteriaceae. The record is from RNAcentral.
CUACGGGAGGCAGCAGUGGGGAAUAUUGCACAAUGGGCGCAAGCCUGAUGCAGCCAUGCCGCGUGUGUGAAGAAGGCCUUCGGGUUAUAAAGCACUUUCAGCGGGGAGGAAGGCGGUGAGGUUAAUAACCUCAUCGAUUGACGUUACCCGCAGAAGAAGCACCGGCUAACUCCGUGCCAGCAGCCGCGGUAAUACGGAGGGUGCAAGCGUUAAUCGGAAUUUCUGGGCGUAAAGCGCACGCAGGCGGUCUGUCAAGUCAGAUGUGAAAUCCCCGGGCUCAACCUGGGAACUGCAUUCGAAACUGGCAGGCUAGAGUCUUGUAGAGGGGGGUAGAAUUCCAGGUGUAGCGGUGAAAUGCGUAGAGAUCUGGAGGAAUACCGGUGGCGAAGGCGGCCCCCUGGACAAAGACUGACGCUCAGGUGCGAAAGCGUGGGGAGCAAACAGGAUUAGAUACCCGGGUAGUC